AUUUGGUAUGGAUCGGAUUAAUAGUUUUUUAGUCUCCAUGUCCAUCGCAACUGAUGCUUAAAAAAAGGUGCUACUGGAAUACAGCUGGAGUUGCGUCAUUUUGAGAAAUUUUUUGAUAAAAAAAAUUGUAAAGGUACAUGAUCAUAUGUACUAACGAAUGUCGUUCACAGGUUUUUAACAAACAUUUAUUUUCUUGUCGAAAAAAAGUCGAGAAAAUCACGUUUUUUCGGCCACUGCGAGUGUAUAAAAGGCCUUAAAUUUGCCUUCGAGAGAAGCCCCAAAAUAUAAGUAUACAAAUUGCUAAGUUAGAAGACCCCUUGCGACGAUGGGAGACAAAGAUUCGGUUCUCUGGGACCAGCACGAGAGUGGACAAUGGACCGCAAUGUCACGAGAUAGGAGCUUCGGUUUUUUUCUCUCCUUAAAGACCGCCGGAGAGUCCUCGACCUCGCAUCAAAUCUUGUCCAUAGUAUAUGACAAAGGCUUUUGAGAACGAAGCUACAAGAAGGCUGAAUACGCUUUCGAACAGCCACGAAGACUCCAAGGAAAUUCACCGUUGAUACGGCUUUUCGGAUCCUGAGCGAUUCUAUUUUGUGUGAAUCGAACAUCGCGUUCAAAAUAGAUAAAAGAGACCACGAGGAUAGAGGGAAGACUGGAGUGAAAAAGCUCCUUUUAGAAUCUUCACACACGCCGCGUUUACAAAUCCACCAGCAGAAACAUCUCUCUACCUAAAUUCAAAUCUACAAAGCAAAGUUCCGCAAAAACUGUUUCACCGUCAAUACGAAAUCGUAAGAAAGCUGCUAACCGUAAAAGCUUUACCUGGAAAAUGAAAUCAUUGAAUUGUCUCAAUGAUUGCAUAAUAAUUAUAUUGAUAAUGAAUCACUAAUAAACAGAUAUAAUUAUAAAUUAUUGAAGCAUUCGAUUGAUACACAAUUCUGGGAGUAAAUGGUCAAACUGCACUAAGAAUAAAAAGUUAUCGAAAAAACGUAAUGUGGCAUUAUGGAGUGCCAAUGAAAUGUAUGAUCAUCACCAACAAAAAAAAUCACAAACAUGAUUAAACGAACACAAUAGUUUUAGAUCAAACUACCGAUUCAUUCUCUCGGAAAGCAUUGCAAUUGAAUGAAGAAAAUUCUUCCAAUUACGUCAAUUGCUAUCGAAUCAAAAAAUUUAUUUUUCCCACUGUGCGAAGAUUGCACUACGAAAAUAAACGAUUUGAUAACA
Molecule: long non-coding RNA, 1218 nt
Organism: Venturia canescens
Lineage: Eukaryota; Metazoa; Arthropoda; Insecta; Hymenoptera; Ichneumonidae
Exons: 2
Source: RefSeq, a predicted model, not a curated record